Podarcis lilfordi (Lilford's wall lizard) is the source of this 75-nucleotide non-coding RNA. Lineage: Eukaryota; Metazoa; Chordata; Lepidosauria; Squamata; Lacertidae. The record is from the annotation of a GenBank genome assembly.
GGAAGUAUCAUGGCUCAGUGGUAUAGCAGCUGCUUUUCAUGCAGAAGGUUCUAAAUUUAAUCCCUAGCAUCUCCA